Molecule: long non-coding RNA, 259 nt
Filed under: Bos indicus x Bos taurus (hybrid cattle)
Lineage: Eukaryota; Metazoa; Chordata; Mammalia; Artiodactyla; Bovidae
Description: lncRNA (ENSBIXG00005007685.1)
Source: RNAcentral
GCUGCUUCCUGCCCUUGUGCCACCCUCAUAUCCCUGUUGGUUACAGAACAGGGAGCGAGACAGCUGGAUGAUAUGACUGAAGCUUCAGUAUUUCAGAGGGGGCUCAAGAGAAGAGAGGAAACUGAUACUGCUUUGUUGAUAAUUAAGCCAGAUUUUUGUUGUUUUGUGGAAAUUUACAAGUUGCUAAAAAAGCAUUCAAAGUAGUAAAGAGGUCAUGAGAAAGUCACAGUGGAAACCGGUUCCAGGCAAGAAACAAUCC